UUGUGGAUCUAUUUAUCUAUCGAAUGCAAUUGCUUCCAUAUGGGUCUAUAUACAGAAUACACGUACACACAAGUGCUACAGAAAUGGAAAUGUUGUCUAAUAGCUGAAUAUUAUACUAAACAGAGUCAUGCCGUAUCAUAAUUUAUUUGAUGAAAUAUCUUUUGGAAGCAAAUGGACAUUAUAAACAAGGAAGAAGAAAACUUAAGAUUUGGUAACACAAAAGAGAUAAUAGAUAAUAAUGAACAAACUGGUGUUAAUGUUAACGCUGAUGAAUCUGAUUUAUGUGCCGAUACGGAUACUGAAGACAACAUUCAGACUGACAACAACACUUAUUUAGAACAGAGCAGAACUAGAUCAGUCGCAACACAAGAUGGUAUGUCAAAAUCCAGCGACUAUAGUAGGGAGCAUGACGGAAAAAAAUGCAUAACAAGAGGACGAAAAUGGAAUUUAAGUACAGCGCCGAUAGGAGUGACUGUUAUAAUUGUCAUAGGAUUUUCUUGUUAUUUUUUCAUACAAGAGUUCCAGGCCAGAGGUAAUCUCGAUAGUCAGUAACGUAGUUUAAUUAACUUGAGUCGAUUAUCAGAUUUAUAUUCUUUAGAGUAUAACAAAGUUUCAUAUGCCAUUUAUAAACAAGAUAAAGAGUCAAUAUAUUCCUGGAAAGUAGACGUGUGCGAAUCGGAACAUAUCCAGUAUAGUAACAGCAUUCGUACAUUUAAAAUCGACUAUCAUGGUAUUCUUAUGGGUCAAUUAAACAUGCAACCUGCAAAGAUUUCCUGUAUUAAAAUUCGUCAUAGUAAAAUUGCCAGUGAAUCCGACGAAUUUUGUCAGAAAAUGUCGGAGAAGUUGAGGAUCCCAGUGUCUCUAGUUUUUAUUUCUGCAGUAAGUGGAAAACAGACUAUUGAUAUUCCUCGCGAUAUAUUCAAACCAAAUGAAACUGAUAACGAUGCUAAUUAUUUAUCAUUAAUAACAUGGCCAGAAGGACCUGGAUAUGCACAGGAAAGAUUUAAACUGAAUAUAAAAGAAACAUUUAGUUCUGGGUAUUUGAAGGGAAGGCUUUCAUGGCGACUGGAUGGUAUUCAUGAAACUUUUCCUUGGACAUAUAAUAAAACAUCGCAUUCUUUUAUGAUACAUCGAGAUGGCAUUUAUUUAGUUUUACUUACACUUCAUUCUUACAUUUAUACCUCAAAUAUAAAAACUGUCAAAAUGCAAGCAUGUCUCAAUAAUACUUGUGCGCGACUGGAAUUAUUUGAAGAAAUGGCUGCCCCGCUUACUCUAAUUGACAUUAAUAGAUUACCAACUUCUCAUGAAUUUGACGUUAAGUUCUACAACAUACCCGGUUUUCUCUCAUAAACACAUUUACCAUCUUUAGUUUUCCAAUCCACACACCGUUUCAAAAAUAUUUACUGAAUGAACGACUUUAUUCUCGUACUUCUGAGUACAAACACCGAAGUCUACAAUGGAAAUCAACAAGAAAUGCAGAAUUUAAAAUAAUAAUUCUACUAGAUAAUAAUACCUUUAAAGUGCAAGAAAAGGGGAACUAUUUGAUCAUAUUAUCACUUAAUCUUUAUACAAGAAACAUGAGAAAGGAUGUAUUACAAUGUGAUGAAAAAUGUAGUCAUGCUUCACUAGUGGCAUGUAUACGAUUCUCAAAUGAGAUAUCUCGGUGUCAAAAUUAUACAUUACCCCUUGGAGUAGUCUUGCCUGUAAUGUUGACCCAUGUCAAACAUUUGUCUUCCGAAGAAAGUUUUCAUAUAACAUUGAAUCAAGCUGCCUUAUACAGAAGUGAAAAUCAUAAUUCUGUGAUAGUUGUUAAACUGUAAUAUAUGCUUAACGCAUACCUGUCUUUGUAUAGAAAAAUACCCAUUGAUUCAGAGGACGAUCAUGCAUAUUUUACCAAAACUUAAGAGACGUGCUGACGAUUGGAGAGUAUGCUUAUUUUAGUAUAUUGCCAUGAUGUAUACUUAUAUACUGAAACAAUAAAACAAAAAAUUAAAGA
Long non-coding RNA from Mytilus californianus (California mussel), 1996 nucleotides. RefSeq lists it as uncharacterized. NCBI's taxonomy places the organism in Eukaryota, Metazoa, Mollusca, Bivalvia, Mytilida, Mytilidae. The transcript is spliced from 2 exons. The record is from RefSeq and is a predicted model, not a curated record.